CUUUUCUUUAAUGUGCAGGAUCUCAAUAUCUGGGUGCAGCCAUUUUGUUAUCCUGUCUAUGUCUGCCCUUCUGUGGGAUAGAUUUUACUUAUGGAUUGUGGCUAAAUUUGAUUUAGCAACUGAAACAGAACCUUUAAUAAACAAUAAGCUAAAGAGGAUAUAGGCUACCAAAAUAGUAAGGUGUCUAACCUCUCUAGUGAAUAUAGAAAUACACAAGAGGAAUAGACAGCCUAAAAUAGAAUAUAUUUAAA
This is a non-coding RNA of Pelobates cultripes (western spadefoot toad), 251 nucleotides long. Lineage: Eukaryota; Metazoa; Chordata; Amphibia; Anura; Pelobatidae. The record is from the annotation of a GenBank genome assembly.